CCUACGGGGGGCUGCAGUCGAGAAUUUUUCACAAUGGGCGAAAGCCUGAUGGAGCGACGCCGCGUGGGGGAUGAAUGGCUUCGGCCCGUAAACCCCUGUCAUUUGCGAAUAAACUCUGGGAUUUAAAAGAUCUCGGAUUGAAAGUAGCAGAAGAGGAAGGGACGGCUAACUCUGUGCCAGCAGCCGCGGUAAUACAGAGGUCCCAAGCGUUGUUCGGAUUUACUGGGCGUAAAGGGUGCGUAGGUGGUAGGGUAAGUUCAGGGUGAAAUCUUCGGGCUCAACCCGAAAAUUGCCUCGAAAACUAUCCUGCUAGAGGAUCAGAGGGGAGACUGGAAUUCUCGGUGUAGCAGUGAAAUGCGUAGAUAUCGAGAGGAACACCUGUGGCGAAGGCGAGUCUCUGGAUGAUUCCUGACACUGAGGCACGAAAGCCAGGGGAGCAAACGGGAUUAGAUACCCCUGUAGUC
RNAcentral lists this ribosomal RNA (464 nucleotides) under uncultured Verrucomicrobiota bacterium. RNAcentral describes it as "bacterial SSU rRNA". It matches the Rfam family "Bacterial small subunit ribosomal RNA", at positions 338 to 795 of the family's 1533-position model. The record is from RNAcentral. Lineage: Bacteria; Pseudomonadati; Verrucomicrobiota.